GGACGGGUGAGUAAUACUUAGGAAUCUACCUAGUAGUGGGGGAUAGCUCGGGGAAACUCGAAUUAAUACCGCAUACGACCUACGGGAGAAAGGGGGCAGUUUACUGCUCUCGCUAUUAGAUGAGCCUAAGUCGGAUUAGCUAGAUGGUGGGGUAAAGGCCUACCAUGGCGACGAUCUGUAGCUGGUCUGAGAGGAUGAUCAGCCACACCGGGACUGAGACACGGCCCGGACUCCUACGGGAGGCAGCAGUGGGGAAUAUUGGACAAUGGGGGAAACCCUGAUCCAGCCAUGCCGCGUGUGUGAAGAAGGCCUUUUGGUUGUAAAGCACUUUAAGCAGUGAAGAAGACUCCUCGGUUAAUACCCGUGGACGAUGACAUUAGCUGCAGAAUAAGCACCGGCUAACUCUGUGCCAGCAGCCGCGGUAAUACUGAGGGUGCAAGCGUUAAUCGGAAUUACUGGGCGUAAAGCGAGCGUAGGUGGCUUGAUAAGUCAGAUGUGAAAUCCCCGGGCUUAACCUGGGAACUGCAUCUGAAACUGUUAGGCUAGAGUAGGUGAGAGGAAGGUAGAAUUCCAGGUGUAGCGGUGAAAUGCGUAGAGAUCUGGAGGAAUACCGAUGGCGAAGGCAGCCUUCUGGCAUCAUACUGACACUGAGGCUCGAAAGCGUGGGUAGCAAACAGGAUUAGAUACCCUGUUAGUCCACGCCGUAAACGAUGUCUACUAGUCGUUGGGUCCCUUGAGGACUUAGUGACGCAGCUAACGCAAUAAGUAGACCGCCUGGGGAGUACGGCCGCAAGGUUAAAACUCAAUGAAUUUGACGGGGGCCCGCACAAGCGGUGGACCAUGUGGUUUAUUUCGAUGCACGCAAGACCCUUACCUGGUCUUGACAU
RNAcentral lists this ribosomal RNA (887 nucleotides) under uncultured bacterium. Its description in RNAcentral is "bacterial SSU rRNA". It matches the Rfam family "Bacterial small subunit ribosomal RNA", at positions 100 to 987 of the family's 1533-position model. The record is from RNAcentral.